Molecule: long non-coding RNA, 1922 nt
Filed under: Capra hircus (goat)
Lineage: Eukaryota; Metazoa; Chordata; Mammalia; Artiodactyla; Bovidae
Description: lncRNA (ENSCHIG00000000630.1)
Source: RNAcentral
AUUCCAUGACAUCGCUCUGUAAUAUUCCAGCAUAUAUUAAUUUCUCCAUUGUCAAAAGUCUAACCUUAGGAAAAGGACUUUUGAAUACAUAUUGCUAGGCAACAGACGCUAAUUGUUUCUUAUGUGUAAGUCUCUUCUCCUCAGGAUUCCAUCUCUUAUUCUUCUAAUGGGCUCUAUGGUGUUCAGUAUAAGGCUCCAUUAUUGGCACUCAAGGAGACUAAGGGAAGAGUAGUCUGGACAACUACCAAUCGGUCAAGAUUUAACCAAGAGAUCAAACUCAUUCACUGUUUCUGGCAUGUGCUUUGCUGAUGAAUCUCCACCCAGAGGACAAGACACAGAGUCAUUGCAGCCCUACAGCUUCAACUGCCAGGUGAAAUUUGGAGAAUAAAAAUCCACGUGAAGAUGGAAAGCAACUCCACGGAAGCGCAUUGCUUGACUGGUUACAAUUAUUCUGCCUUUGCUGUCCCAACCGGGGAGGGGGAAAAAUUGUGCUCUCUAUGUAUCAAGAAUGAAGAAAAGUGUUUCCUUUGUACAAGAACUGUUUUGACAGACAGCCUCAGAAGAUAAAGAAAUGUAUCAAUACAUCUGCUUCGUACCUUUUACUACACAGAAUCUCUACAACUAGGAAGAAAUUGAAGAAAGAGGUUAUAUUUCAUAGAUGUGAAAAUUAAAAGAAGACUCAUUGAAAAAAAAUAGAAUGGAGGAAAGACACAGAGAUACCUCAUCACUGUAAUUUUUAUAAAGAUUAAAUCAUGUUAAGUCCAGGUGUCUUUAAAUGGAGCCUAUCUUAAUGGUACACCCUAGGCUCUGAAAAGAGAUUGACAAGACAAGUAGCAAGAAACUAAUGUCCUGGAUCCCAUACACUUGGAAACUAAAAAUCUCUGCAAGACUCUACCGUGAAUAAUAAGUAGCUUUUACAAAUAAGUCUCAUUUUAAAGAAUAUAUCAACUAUAUCCCUCACCCACCACCCUUUCUAAAAAUAUUUCUUUCACAUUCACUUAAACAAAUCACUUCCAUUUAACAAUUCUAGCACAGGUAAAACAUUUACGUUCUCUGCAGUACUCUCUCUUCGUUCUUCAGGUUUAGUUAUAUCCAGCCUCACAUUGAUGGAAGUUUCUUUAUUUGUAUACUGUAAACAUUUCCAUAGGAUAUUUAUCAUAUCAGUAGACAACAUUUAUCUUAAGCAAUUAUUUUGUCAAAAGAUAUUUUAAUCUCUUCUUUUAGGAACACUAAUCUGGAUUCAGCCUCUUCCUAAAAGUAUCAUUUGGAAUUCUCCCCUCUGCCCUUUUUAUUUCCCUCCCUUAUUCUGUUUUCUGCAAUUUAUAUACUUUCUUCUUUCAACACACUGAAAAUUUUCUUUUUUUUUUUUUUUGCUUCCUUUCCUUUGUAACAUUUUCAAUUUGAGCUUGAGAGAGAGACAGGAAUACUCAAUGAUUAUGGAGAACUCUUAAAAACAAAACUUUAACUUUUUUGGAAUAUAAAGAGACACGGCUAGCAGCCCAUUCUUCUUUGAGAUUAAAAUUUUAACAUACAUGAUUGCCAGUUUUAGAUGAUUUUAUAGACAUAUACAUUUAAAUGAUUAAAUGAUUACAGCAGCAUGAACUUUAAUUAUUUGGAAAUACGUUUCCACAUCUUGCAAGACUCAAGAACAUAAAAGAGACUAGCUUCAGUUCUUUCAAACCCUUUCUUUUCAAAAAAUUUGACAAUUUAAAAUAUACUUCCUUUUAAGUCUUAAUCCUUAUCAAGCAAUACUUUGAUGUGAUAUGACAUUGUUAUAUGACACACUGGUUGAUUCUAAGUGAACAUGAUUUAUCCUCCAAGUUUUGCUGUUAAGAGUUACAAAGAUGUUUCCUUUUUUCAGACGUGAUCAAAUUAAUAAAAACUGACAUGUACAUCAGCUUAACUCUGUACCAAAAUCAAUG